Molecule: ribosomal RNA, 447 nt
Filed under: uncultured bacterium
Lineage: Bacteria
Description: partial 16S ribosomal RNA
Rfam family: Bacterial small subunit ribosomal RNA
Source: RNAcentral
AUUGAACGCUGGCGGCAGGCUUAACACAUGCAAGUCGAACGCACCGCAAGGUGAGUGGCAGACGGGUGAGUAACGCGUGGGAACCUACCCCUUGGUACGGGAUAGCUCCGGGAAACUGGAGAUAAUACUGUAUGUGACCUGAGGGUCAAAGAUUCAUCGCCAAGGGAUGGGCCCGCGUCGGAUUAGCUAGUUGGUGGGGUAACGGCCUACCAAGGCGACGAUCCGUAGCUGGUCUAAGAGGAUGACCAGCCACAUUGGGACUGAGACACGGCCCAAACUCCUACGGGAGGCAGCAGUGGGUGAUAUUGGACAAUGGGCGCAAGCCUGAUCCAGCCAUGCCGCGAGAGUGAUGAAGGCCCUAGGGUUGUAAAGCUCUUUCACCGGGGACGAUAAUGACGGUACCCGGAGAAGAAGCCCCGGCUAACUUCGUGCCAGCCGCCGCCGUAA